Molecule: long non-coding RNA, 1363 nt
Filed under: Mus musculus (house mouse)
Lineage: Eukaryota; Metazoa; Chordata; Mammalia; Rodentia; Muridae
Description: long non-coding RNA chr8:25692145-25693508
Source: RNAcentral
UGUCCUUGCUCUUGUUGGCCCAAGUAGCAACUAAUAGAAGCGCUAUCUGGCAAGGUGACUAGAGCCACCAGGAGUCCUGAGAGACUGGCCUGCGGUUGGGUUGUAUGCUUUCUGCUCAGGUCAGCCUCCAGUGCCUUAUUAGUGAUGUCCUAAGCUUCCUUAAGGUGGGCAGGGGCCUGCAUUACUCCUCAACAAGAUAGAAUUAGUCUGUUAGUACAUUUAUAAAAUUAGAUUAACUCAGCUGUUGUUUUGUUUCCAGCAUUAACAUUGACAUCAACUGGAACUAUUUUGAAACCUCUACUUAGCUUGAAUGAUAUAUUUCCUCUCUUGUAUCUGGAAAACAGUUUGAUUUUUUUUUUUCUGGUUUGUUGGUUUGGUUUUUUUUUGUUUUGUUUUGUUUUGUUUUUGCAUAGCACAAGGUAGACCAUUCAUGUUUCAUUUUCUUCUUUAUCUUUCUAUAUUUUGAACAUUUCUGUCAUGACAGAUUUCACUGAUUCUGGCUCUGUAUUUCCUCUGAAAUAAGACUGAACAUUUACAACCAUUUACAUUAACACUAAACAUGACCUUCCCAACUUCCACAGUGGUGUUAAUAAUAACAUAUCCUCUAAGGCUGUCUGCAAGACAGGCCUGCCUCUUGAUCAGUGGGUUCCAGUGGACUUAAAAACCCUAUGCAGAGCCUGGCGGUGGCCGCGCACACCUUUAAUUCCAGCACUCCCAAGGCAGAGGCAAGAGGAUCUCUGAGUUGGAGGCUAGCCUGGUCUACAGGGCUAGUUCCAGGAUAGCCAGGGGAACACAAAGAAACACUGUCUUGAAACAAAACAAAACCCUUAAAACAUCCAAGCAGCUGGAAAAUUGAACCAGUUAAUCCCACUGAUAACCUGUAGUCAAGGGGAACUGCUAAUGUGAAGGCUGGCAGAGGAAAUACAGUUCUCUGGUCCAUCGUGGGGGGUUUAGGUUUCCUUUUCAUGUAACAGUUGAGGUUUGAAGGUGCAAGAAGACAAGAUUUCUGGAAAUCUUUAAAAGGUUAGAGCAUGCGAUUUGGUCAAGUUAUAUAGAAGGCGCUGAAUCUUUUGCCUGUGAGACUUUAAAUCUCUUGUUGGUUGUAGAACGGACUAGUCAGGGGAAGUGUCCUUUGUCUUCAGUGGUGAGCUUUCUUACUUGUGCUUGUACGAGAGACCCCUGUCCCCUACCCGCUCAUUUUGAUUUGUCGGCAUUCGAAGCGUUACUGUUUGUUGCACCUGUUUUGGUUUCAAAGAGAGGGCUUACUAGAAACCCGAAAGGACAAGCUUGCACAUAGUACUUCAUUCUGCACUGACAAUUACGGGGUUUUGUGCUAUAAAGCAGUGCUUCUCAAAACUGAGUC